GGGUCAGUAGGUUGGUCGUGCCACCGGUACGUACUGGUCUCACUGAUUCCUCCUUCCUGAAGAACCGUAAUGCCAUUAAUUCGGUGUUGCGGGGAAACAGGACUGUUACUUUGAAAAAAUUAGAGUGUUUAAAGCAAGCUAACGCUUGAAUACAUUAGCAUGGAAUAAUGAAAUAGGACGAUCGAUCCUAUUUUGUUGGUUUCUAGGAUUGACGUA
Molecule: ribosomal RNA, 216 nt
Filed under: Glomeromycotina sp.
Lineage: Eukaryota; Fungi; Glomeromycota
Description: partial small subunit ribosomal RNA
Rfam family: Eukaryotic small subunit ribosomal RNA (bases 87-216)
Source: RNAcentral